GCCCCGCUAGCUCAGUUGGUAGAGCAAUCGGCUGUUAACCGAUCGGUCGUAGGUUCGAGUCCUACGCUGGGCGCCA
RNAcentral lists this transfer RNA (76 nucleotides) under Mollicutes bacterium. Its description in RNAcentral is "tRNA-Asn". It matches the Rfam family "tRNA". From Rfam's summary of the family: Transfer RNA (tRNA) molecules are approximately 80 nucleotides in length. Their secondary structure includes four short double-helical elements and three loops (D, anti-codon, and T loops). The record is from RNAcentral. RNAcentral also lists the same sequence under 1 other name. Lineage: Bacteria; Bacillati; Mycoplasmatota; Mollicutes.